UUCUCCCGAGGUUUGUUCUGGUAGCCCUACAGCAGGGAGUUUACCAAGUGGGAAUUUCAGUAGCGCGUUUUUAAUGUGUUUCUGUUUUUACCUCUGAAACUCUAUCAGGACUCAGGUGCUGGAGCACUAAUGCAUAGUUGGAGCAAUAAACCACUAAAGACCACCAAAGCAAGCAAGCAAGCAAGCAAACAAGCAAACAAACAAACAAGGCCUACAUUGUAUUUGGACGGUGAAAGAACGUCAUCCGCUUGUAAUCUGAAACUUUGAAUCUGCCAUCACCUUUAAUAGCCAGUGAGGUCCGGCUAUGGAAGGGAAACCCCUAAUGGCACAAUGAUCAAGGAAAGAGACACCAAGGCUACAUCGCUACAUUGUGGUGGCAGUGGCUGGAGGUGCUCUUCAUGUCACGAGAGGAGUAGAGAAAGUACUGGAAAGGAAAGGGAGAAGUCAGCGACAUACCACUCACGCUCCCAAGAGGUAUUGGCAGAGGAGAGAGAGAAUGGAGCUGCAGCAGCUGAAUGCUUGACUGCGGAAUCCCCUGCUCCAGAGCAACCAACCCUGGCAGUAGUGACCAAGGCAUGGCAGAACUUCCUAACGACAUUUUAGUUUAUAGCUGUAGCGUGUGUGGGAGAGAAGUCAUUGGGCUGUGUAGUUGGUGCUGCUCCUUACUGGAAAAACUAGAAGCGCAUUCGUGGCCAUGGAUCCAGUGGAGGCUGAUAAGGUGAAAGAGGCCAUUUAAAAAAUAUUAAGUUAGCACUGAAUUCUAUUGACAGAGGUUCCCAUCCUUGGGUGUGUGGCCAGGAGAAUCCCCAAAGGAACUGUAUAUGCUGUUAAAAUAACUUUAUGACAAAUGGAUUAAGCCAAGUUAGCACAUCAUUCUUAAAAUUGGAGAGCUCACCAUACUGGAGCAGUUCCUUUGGAUAGUGAACCAAGAGGUCCAGCUUUGGAUCCAGGAACAUGACCCACCAACUGCUAUGGAAGCUGCUAGACUGGCUGAGGUCUUCAUGUUGGCACAGAAAGGACUGAUAAAUUGGCACUGGUGGAAGGAAG
This is a long non-coding RNA of Acipenser ruthenus (sterlet), 1047 nucleotides long. RefSeq lists it as uncharacterized. Lineage: Eukaryota; Metazoa; Chordata; Actinopteri; Acipenseriformes; Acipenseridae. The record is from RefSeq and is a predicted model, not a curated record. The transcript is spliced from 4 exons.